CCUCCAACCCUUAGCACGAAUUGACUUCUUUGUUCCCUUUAAAUAGUUUCAAUACUUGUUUUAAGUUGAUUAAUGGUCUUAAGAUCAAAACUUUAAGUUGUAUGCGUAUUUGAUUAUUUGUUAACAAGUCCAUUUGAUACAAGUACUGCUUAGAUCUCUUGUACUCGGAAUGUUUGAAACAUUGUAUAAAGCCAUUACUAAUC
RNAcentral lists this long non-coding RNA (203 nucleotides) under Actinidia chinensis (golden kiwifruit). RNAcentral's name for it is "long non-coding RNA (ACHI_LNC007248)". Lineage: Eukaryota; Viridiplantae; Streptophyta; Magnoliopsida; Ericales; Actinidiaceae. The record is from RNAcentral.